This is a long non-coding RNA of Triticum aestivum (bread wheat), 6916 nucleotides long. RefSeq lists it as uncharacterized. The transcript has 16 exons. Lineage: Eukaryota; Viridiplantae; Streptophyta; Magnoliopsida; Poales; Poaceae. The record is from RefSeq and is a predicted model, not a curated record.
UCGAGCGACACCACACCAGAUCCCCUCGCCGUUGCCCUCGCCCUCGCAGCCGCCGCCGAUCCCCUCCCCCAUCUUCCUCCCUCAAACGCUAACCCGUCUCCGCACCGCGACCGCCACCUCCCGUCGUGGCCGCCCCCGCCACCUCCCGCCGCGGCCGCCGCCUCAGCUCCAGCCGUGGCCAUCGCGCCCAGAUCCAGCCACGGCCGCCGCCCCCACGUCCCACCGCGGCCGCUGCCCUGCGUGCCAACGACCCCUUCCCCCGCCGCAUUACAAACUCCCUCGGGCACAAGGAUUUACAUCGGCACGCUACCAGGAAGGCAGCCCACGCACGCAUCGUCCCCCCAUCUCUCUCGUUUCCUCUCCCCCAGCUCUAGGGUUCCCAGCCCCACUGCACCGCCGCCACAGCGCACAGCCCCUCCCAAUCUCGUUUCCGAUUUACCUCCUCUCUCCUCCCGUCACGGCCCUGAAUCAUCCCCCUCCUCCCGCACUUCUUCGUGCGUGGCCGCCGGCCUUGUCGUCUUCACCGACGGGAGGAGGCGAGUAGCAGCCGCACCAAGCGGUAGCAGUUGAUUAGGCCUUUGGCCAAUUGUGUAUGAUUAGAAGCCUUGGCUGAAUGUAUUUGCGUCUUGUUUUUUGGGCUCCUAUGUUCUCUUUUGAUUAAGCCCACUGUGUUCUCCUCUCACUAAGCCCUUGGCUAAUUGUGUUUGAUUAAAGGCCUUGGCUGAUUGCAUCCUUUUUAUUAUUAUUAGAUGGUCUACUCCCGAUGAUGUCAUCCUUUCCAGUGGAGCGCGGGAGCGUCGUCGAGAGAUUCGUCAAGGAAAGUGACCUGUUGUCUCAUCUGCUGGCCAAUCCUCUGGUUUGGCGGUCAGUUUGUUGCGUGCUUCUCCUGUCCUGAAUUUGGGGUCUUGUUCAGUGGCUGCUGAACCUGCUUUCUUUGUUUUGAAUCCGAACUUGGGAUCUUCUUCAAUGGCUGCUCAGUCAUUCAACCGUUUGUCUGGAACUUUUCAUUUGUGUAUGUUGUCUUCCUCUUACCUCUUCUUUUUUCCAGUUGGUUAAAUCAAAUAAGUUUAGGUUUUCCCAAAAAAGCAUUUCUUACUUUUUUUGAUACAGUGAGGAAUUUAUGUUGAUUUGAAUAGAAAAUUUGUCCUUCAAGAGUAAUGAACAAAAAGGGCAGCCGGUGCAUGUAGCUCCCGCUUGCGCAGGGUCGGGGAAGGGUCUGACCACUUUGGGUCUAUAGUACGCAGCCUUUCCCUACAUUUCUGUAAGAGGCUGUUUCCAGGACUUGAACCCGUGACCUCAUGGUCACAAGGUAGCAGCUUUACCACUGCGCCAAGGCUCCCCUUCAAGAGUAAUGAACAAUCAAACAAUUUUGGAUUGAGCUAAACUGUUACAAUAGAAAUUUUUUUAUCUCUUAUUCUUAUUAUUAGCUAACAUCCUUAUGUUAUGGGACGAGGGAGUAGUUUAUAAGGUUCUGUUUAUAAACUUUCUGUACUCAGUUUAUAAUGUUUCUCUUAUUCUAUUAUUAGCUAACAUCCUUAUAAAUCAGAGAUUCUGUGUAUCAUCACAGUUAUAAGCACAUACCAAAUUUAGCUACAUCUUAGACUUAUCUUCAUACAAAUUAUAUCCUUUUGACUUCAGGUACUUAUGUAUUGUCGAAAUCUGGUCAUUUGUAUUCUUCUCAGAAACUGCAUAAUGGCACCUUGCCGUUCUUUUCAGUUUGUCUCCUUAUGAUCCCCGCUUCAAUCUUUCUACUUGAUCUACAUUUUUUCCCAUGAGUUUAAUUUCUUGAUUUUGAUUCAGAUAUUCAAUAGUUGCUGGUGCGGGCAAUGGACAUUCAGACAUUCCUAUAUUUUUCUGUACUCUGUUCUGUAUUUCAUUUAAUUUGUAUCUUACUUUUUCCUGUAUAUAUAUGAUGCCUAGGAGAAGUGCACUGUACGAUGCAUAUCGGAGAAAAAGGCGCACUACAAGUUCUCCUGCUACUAAAAGAAGUUAGAGCUGCAAAUUCAAUGUUCAGGGAAGCCAAGAUCGGUUGAUAUGAAACUGUAUCUCCUGUUCAAGAUACUGUCAUGGCAACGGUGGAAAGCUGCAGAGGACACAUCCUGAAUUGGUGUUCUUUGCAAUGCCCUGGUGACCGGCGCCAGCAACACGCUACGGCCCGCCGGUUGCACUAAACGGCAGCGUGAACCAUCUGUUUAGGAGUAGCGGCGCAGAAGACGAUGACGUGGCAGAGGAUGGAUUAGAUUGUCCCUAUCAGUGCGGCAGCAACUGGGUUGUGUGCGCAGCCGGGGUCGAGGAGGAAGAACCGCUGCUCACGACCUCGCACUACGACAGCGCAUCUUCUACUAUCGCACCUGUGGAGUCCUAGAUCUGGGAUCGUCGGAAGCAAGUGUACAUCUAGGGAUUUAUUUGAUUUGAAAUGUAUUAUGUUAGCUUAGCCUACUCUGUUGAUGUUGGUAUGUCAGGCUUUUAUAUUUCAGAAACAUGGUCAUUGCAAAUGGCAAUGUCGACAUGGAGGAACGAACCCUUGAAAUCGGGAUGGAGUACAGGACAGUUUCUUGACUUGCUGCUCCUCUUGUGAUUCUUGAUAAAGUGAAUUUGCAGGCAUUACUUCCAAGUCACAACCUGCAUAUUUUAGAAAUUUGUUGGGUAAAUAUUUGAAUAUGGUGCUUUUCUAAGGAGGUAUACAAUUUAUCUUUUGUGGAAUGAGUAUUGAUUUGCUGAUACCCGUAGUUAGCAUACAGAAGAGGCUGCUUGGUUGUCAAAAGAAUUUUAUUAUCUUAUAAAAAGUUCCUAUAUUGGGAUUUUGGAAUAAAGUGCUUCAUUGGAAGUCCGUAAGCAAAAGUUUGGUACUGCUUCAUUGGAUUUCAGUGAGGUUAUGAUAUAGUGCCAGACUGCCAGCCUUAGUACUACUUGUUUCAUGAAUGCUUCUACAUAUUUCUAGGCCGUGCAUUUCUAUGUUUGAUUACUGUAUUUUGUCUCAAACCCUGCUUUACUUGUAUCAUUUGUGUUGUAUGUCAUGGAACCGGAACUAGCAUUUUGGACAACCAUUGGACAAUAUUGUAUAUUCCGACUUCAAUUCCAUGCGAGUACCGAACUUGGCAUUGAGAGUCAUCCCAUGGAACUAAGUUAGCAUUUAUCUCUGAAACCAGAACAUAUAGUUCACUACUGAAGUAGCUACCAAAAUUUUGCAAGGCGUUGGACCUUUUCACAUAUGUUGUUGAUCGUUUCUUCUUUAUUGGUGUACGUUUGGCUGAUUCUGGCGAGAUGUGGCUCGAGCGGAUGUCGUUGAUGUGACAAUGAGAAGAUCCUCUCUUUGAGCCCUCUCCCUCUCGUUUUGCCUCUCAUGCUUCCUGUUUCUCUAUUCUCAAGGGAGUUUCACUGGUUCUUUGGAGGUUUGUGUUAUUAUCUGUCUCGUUUAAAUGACCAAAGGUGUAUGGGAAUUUCUAUGGAAUGUCACUCAAGGAGGGUCAGACAUAGCUCAAAGUUGAGUGAUAUCCUCAUGGCCAACAAGGAUUGAUCCUAAUUCAAGAUUGAAAGUUUUGCUUUCGUGCGAGUGUCAUAUAUAUACAUGUAUUGUUUCUUGGGCAUUGAAAGUUAAGGAAAACACUUUUUUGAUUGGUUCAGCGCAGCUUGCCAUUCGUUGAGAUUUGUUACUUCUGUUAGAAAGCUUCAGUCUGAGUCUGCGCCAUAAUUCCUAACAAUUCAAUGAAGGUCUGGCUUUGUUUUAUCCUUUUCUAUCGCUUCAUAUUCAAUGAAUUCCAAGAUGUAUUAGAUAACUAUUAAUAGUUGUAGAUGUUGCAGGUUGCAGAUACUAUUUAGGAUCAUUUAGUAUCCAAUGCUUUCAUUUUUCUCAAUGCUACUGAAUUAUCCAAUACAAAAUCUAGGGUUCAUUUACCAGCUACACCAUGUAUUUGAUUAUUCACUUGCUGCCAAUAAGUGUCAAUUAUACUAACAUGUCCUGAACUCUUUUGCUUGGUCACCAGAAGAGCAGUGGGUGAAAAUGUUGGCUUAGAAAUUCAGAACAUCAAAGAAGUGGUCGGGGGUCUGGUCAUGGUAUGUAAACACUUUACAGGGUCAGUCUGGCUUAUCAUUUGGACUUGAUUUAAUGAUAUGAACAAUGGUGCAUACAUAUCUCCAGAAUAUAGUUUCUUCAAUGCAGCGUACGUGUCUUUUACUCUAGCUUUUGUAUGCUAAUACUUCCACAAAAAAGUAUGGCCAUCUGUGUAUUGUACAUUAUAAUGUCUGAUUAUUUGUCAGACAGGUUGAGAGCAUAAAUGCAUCAUUAGUCCAUCGAUCCAGUGUGAUUGCUUAGAUCCAGCCGGGUAUAGCUUGCUGCUAGCGUUAUACUAUCUAGAGCAUGUUCUUUUUCUCUUUGUUUAAUUGAAUAGCGUAAUACUAUUGUUAUCAAGAAAUAUGAACAAGCGACAUUGUAGAUCUAUGUCUUCCAUGUUCCCACACUGAUGUUCUUUUGAUAUUCUUCCAUUUACACCAAUCUACUUGUUGGGUGAUAAUCUUGACAAUCAUAAAACCUUUCAGGUCUGCCUAUCUAUUGAUGGUGAUUCUAGCAAAGGUAAUGAUGCAGCAAAAAUGAUGGGAGCGACUCUUCUCGAGAUAUCUUGCAAGUUUGUGCCCGCUUUUCCAGAAUCUGAGAAACAACAACUCAUGAGUAUUUUGUUGUGUUUAUUAUCAUAGCGGACACCACACCCGCUUUUCCAGAAUCUGAGAAACAACAACUCAUGAGUAUUUUGUUGUGUUUAUUAUCAUAGCGGACACCACAAUUCUAAAGCUAUUAGGACUCGGGAGAUGAGUGCCUGAUGGUACUGUUGCUGCAUGUUGGGCAGCCGUAUCAGUAUGGAUCUGCUGUUUUGGGCUACAGCUAAGCUUUGCUACUGCUCUAAAUUGCAGUCUUUUGACCAACCGUGUUACCAAUGAUCAAUAUUUUUUUCCUUCCAGCAUUGCCUUAUUGUCUCUACUCCGGCUGCACUGUCAAUUUUGUGGUAGUCAUUUUCCAACAGUGAGUAGUGCUUUCUUUUCAGAAAUGAGCAGUGUGUUGUUUGUGUGGGUGCACAUUAUUUAGAAUCUUAUUGUCGUUGCUUUCAAAAUAAGUAUCAUGGUGCCUGGCCACUUAUUAAGCUCAUAAUUUGCCGUUGCUUUCCACUUUGUUUAUACAGAUGUUUGUUCGUGCAAUGCAUUGGAAUUAAUCAUGAAAUAAUUUGCUUAAUAUUUCGUUUUCCAUUCCUUGUUUGGUAUUAAGAUACAACAAGCGAACAACGACAUCAGGUUGUCGGCAGUAGUGACAUCAACGGAUGGAGGGUGCGAGUGCUGCAACUCCGGCGGGAUGCUAGAGCUCGUGGUGACAUUUACGGCGGUGUGCCUGGGCGCCAUGAAGGAUGGAUCUGGCGCCGCGACCGAGAUGACAAGAGGACCAGCUGAGGGGGGCUCGACAAGGCGGCACUGCCAGCCAUGCCGGUGUUCGAAUUCAAGACGGGGCCUCGAUGGGUUGUUACUUGGUAGCUGCUGCAUACGUGUUGCUUCAUUGUUUUGCCUUACUAGAAGUUCCUUUCAGUCAGCUAAAUGUCAAUAUGUUGGAUGAUGUUGUGGAGAGGGCCACCGAGAGGGGGUUUGCAUUGCCAAAGUCGAAGGUGGCCAUUGCCUUGACCUGCCUGGACCUCUUGACCUUUAACAACGCUCAAACAGGAAACACAUGUUGGAGGAGGAGACCACAAGCUAAUUGAUGAUUUGGAUGAGUGGAUCAGAGGACGACAUGAGCAGCUCAAGUCUCUCAACACGCGGAUGGAUGAUGUUGUGGAGAGGGCCAUCGAGAGGGGGUUUGCAUUGCCAAAGUUGAAGGUGGCCAUCGCCUUGACCUGCCUAGACCUCCUGACCUUUCACAACACUCAAACAGGAAACACAUGUUGGAGGAGGAGACCACAAGCUAAUUGAUGAUUUGGAUGAGUGGAUCAAAGGACGACAUGAGCAGAUGUGGAGAGGGUUCUCCUAGCGGUCAUUGAAACUGUGAUAUGCAUUUCCUUGCUCCCGGCUCUGAUCAAGUUUGUAGCGUCUGGGAAUGUGCAUAUGAAAAUCCACAUGACCAUAGCGGACCAUUGCAAUGCGGCAAAUCAAAUUUCAAUACUCAACACACUUCUAUGUGGAUUACCACAAUACGACCUGCAGGAAGACCACAGGUGGAGUGUGCUUGGACGGCAGCUUGGCCGCCAGCUGCAUGCCCUUCUAGGCGGCCAGGCAGAGAUUCUUUGCCUCGGCAACCGCCUUGGCCUAGAGCCAUGCCAGGUCGUCGUCGCCGAGGAUGGACGCCAGCAAUGACAUCGAUCUCUGUGAUACCGACGAAGUUGGUUGUGGGGCGGGACCAUGGCGGGGUGGCAUGAGGCCAUGGUGGGGAGAGGACAUGGGCACGAGGCUGUGGAUAUCGAGCUCCUUCUUUUACAACGAAGGGCAUGACGGAUGGCACCAGCGGAAAGGUGAGCGCCGGUGGAGAUAAGCGAGAAAAGGAGUAGCGCGAGGCGGUAGGCAGCCUUGAAGAGGAUGAGUGGGGCCGCUGCUGGGGGAUGGUCCUAGGGAUUUUUGAAUCAACGAGAGCAGUGUCGGCCCAGGCUAUCUAGAAUGAUUGCAUGUAUUAAUGAAGUAGUCCACGUUAGGUGGAUUGGCUCAAAAUGGAGAAGCAUGAUUGUAUUAAGCAUUUAAGCUCUAAGCAAUUUAGAAUGUCAAUGUCUUGGGGCUCCCUUGCAAUAUUUCAGAGAACUAUAUUUUUUCAGACAUUUUAUAUUGCCUCACGAUGUUUGGGGGAUCUGAUUAGGUAUUGUUUCUCUAUAUAUCUAUCCAUCUCUCCAUUUUAGUUGCUAAUAGAAUAAUGAACAAUUGAUAGGACUAAUCUUAUAGACUUGUUUUCUCCUCAAUC